Molecule: ribosomal RNA, 253 nt
Filed under: uncultured bacterium
Lineage: Bacteria
Description: partial 16S ribosomal RNA
Rfam family: Bacterial small subunit ribosomal RNA
Source: RNAcentral
UACGAAGGGGGCUAGCGUUGUUCGGAAUUACUGGGCGUAAAGCGCGCGCAGGCGGUCCUUUAAGUCGGGGGUGAAAGCCCAGAGCUCAACUCUGGAACUGCCUUCGAAACUAGAGGACUUGGGUACGGGAGAGGUGAGUGGAAUUCCGAGUGUAGAGGUGAAAUUCGUAGAUAUUCGCAAGAACACCAGUGGCGAAGGCGGCUUACUGGUCCGGUUCUGACGCUGAGGCGCGAAAGCGUGGGGAGCAAACAGG